This 233-nucleotide ribosomal RNA is filed under the name uncultured bacterium. Its description in RNAcentral is "partial 16S ribosomal RNA". It matches the Rfam family "Bacterial small subunit ribosomal RNA", at positions 103 to 334 of the family's 1533-position model. The record is from RNAcentral.
CGGGUGAGUAACGCGUGAGGAACCUGCCUCAAAGAGGGGGACAACAGUUGGAAACGACUGCUAAUACCGCAUAAGCCCACGGCUCGGCAUCGAGCAGAGGGAAAAGGAGUGAUCCGCUUUGAGAUGGCCUCGCGUCCGAUUAGCUAGUUGGUGAGGUAACGGCCCACCAAGGCAACGAUCGGUAGCCGGACUGAGAGGCUGAACGGCCACAUUGGGACUGAGACACGGCCCAG